ACACGACUACAUUAGAUACCCGCGUAGUCCAGGGUGUAAACGCUGCGGGCUUGGUGUUGGGGGUCUUUGGGGGCAUUCAGUGCCGGAGAGAAGUUGUUAAGUCUGCUACUUGGGGAGUACGUCCGCAAGGAUGAAACUUAAAGGAAUUGGCGGGGGAGCACCGCAACGGGAGGAGCGUGCGGUUUAAUUGGAUUCAACACCGUAAAACUCACCAGGGAAGACUGUUACAUGAAGGCCGAGAUGAAGACUCUGCUAGAUUUUCAG
This 264-nucleotide ribosomal RNA is filed under the name uncultured archaeon. Its description in RNAcentral is "partial 16S ribosomal RNA". It matches the Rfam family "Archaeal small subunit ribosomal RNA", at positions 717 to 982 of the family's 1478-position model. The record is from RNAcentral.